CCUACGGGCGGCUGCAGUGGGGAAUAUUGGACAAUGGGGGCAACCCUGAUCCAGCCAUGCCGCGUGUGUGAAGAAGGCCCUCGGGUUGUAAAGCACUUUCAGUGAGGAAGAACGCCUGGUGGUUAAUACCCAUCAGGAAAGACAUCACUCACAGAAGAAGCACCGGCUAACUCCGUGCCAGCAGCCGCGGUAAUACGGAGGGUGCGAGCGUUAAUCGGAAUUACUGGGCGUAAAGCGCGCGUAGGUGGCUUGAUAAGCCGGUUGUGAAAGCCCCGGGCUCAACCUGGGAACGGCAUCCGGAACUGUCAAGCUAGAGUGCAGGAGAGGAAGGUAGAAUUCCCGGUGUAGCGGUGAAAUGCGUAGAGAUCGGGAGGAAUACCAGUGGCGAAGGCGGCCUUCUGGACUGACACUGACACUGAGGUGCGAAAGCGUGGGUAGCAAACAGGAUUAGAUCCCCUGUAGUC
RNAcentral lists this ribosomal RNA (464 nucleotides) under Vreelandella stevensii. RNAcentral describes it as "partial 16S ribosomal RNA". It matches the Rfam family "Bacterial small subunit ribosomal RNA", at positions 338 to 795 of the family's 1533-position model. The record is from RNAcentral. Lineage: Bacteria; Pseudomonadati; Pseudomonadota; Gammaproteobacteria; Oceanospirillales; Halomonadaceae.